UACGUAGGGUGCAAGCGUCAAUCGGAAUCACUGGGCGUAAAGGGCGCGUAGGCGGCCGUUCAAGUCGGGGGUGAAAGCCUGUGGCUCAACCACAGAAUGGCCUUCGAUACUGGACGGCUCGAGACCGGAAGAGGUCAGUGGAACUGCGAGUGUAGAGGUGAGAUUCGUAGAUAUUCGCAAGAGCACCAGUGGCGAAGGCGGCUGACUGGUCCGGUUCUGACGCUGAGGCGCGAAAGCGUGGGGAGCAAACAGG
Molecule: ribosomal RNA, 253 nt
Filed under: uncultured bacterium
Lineage: Bacteria
Description: partial 16S ribosomal RNA
Rfam family: Bacterial small subunit ribosomal RNA
Source: RNAcentral